AUUUAAGUAGUUUAAUAAAAAUUUUGAUUUGUGGAGUCAAGGAUAUAGUCUGUUCUAUUUUAGAUA
Molecule: transfer RNA, 66 nt
Filed under: Melanotus villosus
Lineage: Eukaryota; Metazoa; Arthropoda; Insecta; Coleoptera; Elateridae
Description: tRNA-His
Source: RNAcentral